This 433-nucleotide ribosomal RNA is filed under the name uncultured bacterium. Its description in RNAcentral is "partial 16S ribosomal RNA". It matches the Rfam family "Bacterial small subunit ribosomal RNA", at positions 29 to 507 of the family's 1533-position model. The record is from RNAcentral.
AACGAACGCUGGCGGCAUGCCUAACACAUGCAAGUCGAACGAGACCUUCGGGUCUAGUGGCGCACGUGUGCGUAACGCGUGGGAACCUGCCCUUAGGUUCGGAAUAACUCCCCGAAAGGGGUGCUAAUACCGGAUAAUGUCUUCGGACCAAAGAUUUAUCGCCUUUGGAUGGGCCCGCGUUGGAUUAGCUAGUUGGUAGUGUAAAAGCCUACCAAGGCGACGAUCCAUAGCUGGUCUGAGAGGAUGAUCAGCCACACUGGGACUGAGACACGGCCCAGACUCGUACGGGAGGGAGCAGUGGGGAAUAUUGGACAAUGGGCGAAAGCCUGAUCCAGCAAUGCCGGGUGAGUGAUGAAGGCCUUAGGGUUGUAAAGCUCUUUUACCCGGGAUGAUAAUGACAGUAACGGGAGAAUAAGCUCCGGCUAACUACGUG